UUAUUCCCUUUAUUCACAUGCGUAACGUUCGGAAAGUUAUAUAAACAACAUUUAAUAAAAGUAUUUUUAUAGAGGAUAAAGUGCCAGUUUGAAGGGGAAUUUCGAAGAGGACGGAAAAUUUUACCUUCCAAAUCAUCACUGCGCAAGAACGUUAAAAUAAUUACA
This 165-nucleotide long non-coding RNA is filed under the name Polistes fuscatus (common paper wasp). RNAcentral describes it as "uncharacterized LOC122515483". The record is from RNAcentral. Lineage: Eukaryota; Metazoa; Arthropoda; Insecta; Hymenoptera; Vespidae.